This 638-nucleotide ribosomal RNA is filed under the name uncultured bacterium. RNAcentral's name for it is "bacterial SSU rRNA". It matches the Rfam family "Bacterial small subunit ribosomal RNA", at positions 607 to 1244 of the family's 1533-position model. The record is from RNAcentral.
GCUCAACCGGGGAGGGUCAUUGGAAACUGGGGAACUUGAGUGCAGAAGAGGAGAGUGGAAUUCCACGUGUAGCGGUGAAAUGCGUAGAGAUGUGGAGGAACACCAGUGGCGAAGGCGACUCUCUGGUCUGUAACUGACGCUGAGGCGCGAAAGCGUGGGGAGCGAACAGGAUUAGAUACCCUGGUAGUCCACGCCGUAAACGAUGAGUGCUAAGUGUUAGAGGGUUUCCGCCCUUUAGUGCUGCAGCAAACGCAUUAAGCACUCCGCCUGGGGAGUACGGUCGCAAGACUGAAACUCAAAGGAAUUGACGGGGGCCCGCACAAGCGGUGGAGCAUGUGGUUUAAUUCGAAGCAACGCGAAGAACCUUACCAGGUCUUGACAUCCUCUGGCAACCCUAGAGAUAGGGCUUCCCCUUCGGGGGCAGAGUGACAGGUGGUGCAUGGUUGUCGUCAGCUCGUGUCGUGAGAUGUUGGGUUAAGUCCCGCAACGAGCGCAACCCUUGAUCUUAGUUGCCAGCAUUCAGUUGGGCACUCUAAGGUGACUGCCGGUGACAAACCGGAGGAAGGUGGGGAUGACGUCAAAUCAUCAUGCCCCUUAUGACCUGGGGCUACACACGCGCUACAAUGGGCAGAACAAAG